GACGAACGCUGGCGGCGUGCCUAAUACAUGCAAGUCGAGCGAAUGAAUGGGAGCUUGCUCCCUGACAUUAGCGGCGGACGGGUGAGUAACACGUGGGCAACCUGCCCUGCAGAUGGGGAUAACUCCGGGAAACCGGGGCUAAUACCGAAUAAUCAGUUCCUCCGCAUGGAGGAACUCUGAAAGACGGUUUCGGCUGUCACUGCAGGAUGGGCCCG
Molecule: ribosomal RNA, 215 nt
Filed under: uncultured Bacillota bacterium
Lineage: Bacteria; Bacillati; Bacillota
Description: uncultured Firmicutes bacterium partial 16S ribosomal RNA
Rfam family: Bacterial small subunit ribosomal RNA
Source: RNAcentral